Molecule: long non-coding RNA, 1256 nt
Filed under: Physcomitrium patens
Lineage: Eukaryota; Viridiplantae; Streptophyta; Bryopsida; Funariales; Funariaceae
Description: long non-coding RNA (PPAT_LNC013690)
Source: RNAcentral
UUGUGUGUUUUUUUAUUUUGUUGUUGUGGGUACAUUGAAGAAGGUAUUCAACGCGGCACUCGCAUUACGUUAUGCAUCUCAGGCUCCGUAUCUAAAAACGAUCUGGAAGAAGGCGGAAUAUUAAAGCCGGCUGCAGGCAUUGAGCUGUGGCUGUGGAAUGUGCAAUGAUUGUGUGAAUUGUCAACACAGGUGAAGCUAAGGCUACAGUCUCUCUCUCGAAUGGUCGUUCAAUUCCAGGCGAUGCGCAGGAGGAGGAAACUGACGCAGUGACGAGAUUGCGAGACGAGUCGUUUUUAAUUGCCCCAGAUUCGGUGACUUUGACGGUGAAGAGACGGGGGGCGGAGUGGCAGGCUGGCGGUGGUUGGUGAGGGGUAACUGCACAAGAAUUUUGAGAUGGUUGGAGGUGAGAAUUUUUCUCUUGAUUCUCUGCGUCUUUCACUAUUGCGCAGCCACCCCCACGAGGACAAAACAAUGUGGAAAGCCUCCCCGAAGCAGGCAACGGAAAUUUGAAACUUUGAACCGCCUAAUUCAAAACUUCCACGAAAUUGGAGUUUGAGGAAUAUUAGUGGGAGGCCGCAUGGGUGGGUCUUUGGUGGGGAAUUUGCCAAACUGGGCACACCACGGCGGUGCGUUGAGAUCUGCGCACAUCCCAUGGGGGCAACAAGCGGUUGUGUGUCUUCUUCCGAAUGGGAAACACGCCAUAUUUAACCAACACAAAUCCCUCGACGGGGACUAUAACCAGCUUUCCCUUCUAUUAAAUAUAAAAAACAAAGCGAGUAACUGACACCCUAAGUAAGUGGGUAUAUUCUAUUCACGACGCACUAGGUUUCAGAGUGGGGAGUAAUAGGCACUAGUAGUAAAAAAAUCUUCAAAGGCUUAUUCGAUGUUUGUGGAUUCUUCGAUCGACGACAUGCCCGACACCGACCCAGCAAAGCUCUCUGUCUGGCACUUCGCAACUAAUUGAUUCAAAUCAUUGGCAGUUAACGUAAUGUUUCUUAUAAUACUGAGAGUUAGGUCUUGUCGGGUCUUACAUUGUUGUGUGAAUCCGUUAGUUUUAGACGUCCUUGUUGAACCUACGAAGCUAAUUUCCUUUCAGGUCGUUGCCUAUUAGAACCUACCCAUUUAUCUUAUAAAAAUAUCAAUGAAAUUAGUAACCUUAAAAACACUCAAAGGAGCAAAUCGUACACAGUCAAUGUUAAGAACUUCUGAAACGUUUCACGCUAUGUUGCGUUCUUUGUUUGGUAUUUGUGUUAACC